CCCCAAGAUGACGAAUGCCUUGUCGUGGCCUUGGGGCUUGAGCUCUGGAUGAAUGUUGAUUGAUUUUCGAUUCAGUCGACAUUCAUCCAGAGACUAAGAUUCAU
This 104-nucleotide non-coding RNA is filed under the name unclassified sequences. The record is from RNAcentral.